GAGUAACACGUGGGUAACCUGCCUGUAAGACUGGGAUAACUCCGGGAAACCGGAGCUAAUACCGGAUAGUUCCUUGAACCGCAUGGUUCAAGGAUGAAAGACGGUUUCGGCUGUCACUUACAGAUGGACCCGCGGCGCAUUAGCUAGUUGGUGAGGUAACGGCUCACCAAGGCGACGAUGCGUAGCCGACCUGAGAGGGUGAUCGGCCACACUGGGACUGAGACACGGCCCAGACUCCUACGGGAGGCAGCAGUAGGGAAUCUUCCGCAAUGGACGAAAGUCUGACGGAGCAACGCCGCGUGAGUGAUGAAGGUUUUCGGAUCGUAAAGCUCUGUUGUUAGGGAAGAACAAGUGCAAGAGUAACUGCUUGCACCUUGACGGUACCUAACCAGAAAGCCACGGCUAACUACGUGCCAGCAGCCGCGGUAAUACGUAGGUGGCAAGCGUUGUCCGGAAUUAUUGGGCGUAAAGGGCUCGCAGGCGGUUUCUUAAGUCUGAUGUGAAAGCCCCCGGCUCAACCGGGGAGGGUCAUUGGAAACUGGGAAACUUGAGUGCAGAAGAGGAGAGUGGAAUUCCACGUGUAGCGGUGAAAUGCGUAGAGAUGUGGAGGAACACCAGUGGCGAAGGCGACUCUCUGGUCUGUAACUGACGCUGAGGAGCGAAAGCGUGGGGAGCGAACAGGAUUAGAUACCCUGGUAGUCCACGCCGUAAACGAUGAGUGCUAAGUGUUAGGGGGUUUCCGCCCCUUAGUGCUGCAACUAACGCAUUAAGCACUCCGCCUGGGGAGUACGGUCGCAAGACUGAAACUCAAAGGAAUUGACGGGGGCCCGCACAAGCGGUGGAGCAUGUGGUUUAAUUCGAAGCAACGCGAAGAACCUUACCAGGUCUUGACAUCCUCUGACAACCCUAGAGAUAGGGCUUUCCCUUCGGGGACAGAGUGACAGGUGGUGCAUGGUUGUCGUCAGCUCGUGUCGUGAGAUGUUGGGUUAAGUCCCGCAACGAGCGCAACCCUUGAUCUUAGUUGCCAGCAUUUAGUUGGGCACUCUAAGGUGACUGCCGGUGACAAACCGGAGGAAGGUGGGGAUGACGUCAAAUCAUCAUGCCCCUUAUGACCUGGGCUACACACGUGCUACAAUGGACAGAACAAAGGGCUGCGAGACCGCAAGGUUUAGCCAAUCCCACAAAUCUGUUCUCAGUUCGGAUCGCAGUCUGCAACUCGACUGCGUGAAGCUGGAAUCGCUAGUAAUCGCGGAUCAGCA
This 1259-nucleotide ribosomal RNA is filed under the name Bacillus altitudinis. RNAcentral's name for it is "bacterial SSU rRNA". It matches the Rfam family "Bacterial small subunit ribosomal RNA", at positions 108 to 1354 of the family's 1533-position model. Lineage: Bacteria; Bacillati; Bacillota; Bacilli; Caryophanales; Bacillaceae. The record is from RNAcentral.